Molecule: ribosomal RNA, 253 nt
Filed under: uncultured bacterium
Lineage: Bacteria
Description: partial 16S ribosomal RNA
Rfam family: Bacterial small subunit ribosomal RNA
Source: RNAcentral
CACGGGGGGAGCAAGCGUUGUUCGGAAUCACUGGGCGUAAAGGGCGUGUAGGCGGUCAGGUAAGUGAGACGUGAAAUGCCCCGGCUUACCCCGGGACCUGCGUCUCAUACUGCUUGGCUUGAGUACGGGAGAGGGUGUGGGAAUUCCUGGUGUAGCGGUGAAAUGCGUAGAUAUCAGGAGGAACACCGGUGGCGAAGGCGCACACCUGGCCCGAUACUGACGCUGAGGCGCGAAAGCUAGGGGAGCAAACGGG